UCGGGAGGCAAGGUGGGCAUAAAGAGAAGUUGAGUGUAACUAAACCGAUCUUCCUUAGGAAAUGCCCAUUUGCUGAAGCCAGAUUUUCUUUUGAAUGAACAUAGCAGGUUUGAGUGAAGAUGCUGUUUUGUGUUUUCCCCAUGCUGCAGUUCCUGGGUUGAAGUGAAAGACCCAAGACUUGCCAGUGAAGAGACUUCAGCCAGGACCCUGAGCAUCCCUGGUGGACAGUGUGCCUGCAGAGCUGAUGGCUGUUGUCGAUUGUGCCCCUUGUAAGUGUCAUUGCUGCCAUCAGAACUGCUUAUUUUGCCAACAGAAUUUAAACGACAUCUGGCACAAGCCCUCCUUGCCUUAACGCUGUGGCCUGGAAAAGGCAGAAUCCCCAGUUGGAAAAGACCGGAAGUAUGGGCAGAAAUUCAGUGAAGUUUUCCCACUGGAAAGUGGAGUGGGCAUCCCUGCUCUUUUCUUCUCUCCACCAGAAGAUUUAUUUAAACUUUCUUAUUGGUA
RNAcentral lists this long non-coding RNA (504 nucleotides) under Anas platyrhynchos platyrhynchos (common mallard). RNAcentral's name for it is "lncRNA (ENSAPLG00000021733.1)". The record is from RNAcentral. Lineage: Eukaryota; Metazoa; Chordata; Aves; Anseriformes; Anatidae.